This 253-nucleotide ribosomal RNA is filed under the name uncultured bacterium. RNAcentral describes it as "partial 16S ribosomal RNA". It matches the Rfam family "Bacterial small subunit ribosomal RNA", at positions 524 to 776 of the family's 1533-position model. The record is from RNAcentral.
UACGAGUGGUGCAAGCGUUAUUCGGAUUUAUUGGGCGUAAAGGGUGCGCAGACGGUCUGCUAAGUCACUUGUUAAAUUCUCUGGCCUAACUAGAGACCUGCGGGUGAAACUGGCGAACUUGAGGAUGGAAGAGAGAAGUGGAAUUCUCGGAGUAGCGGUAAAAUGCGUAGAUCUCGAGAGGAACACCAAUGGCGAAGGCAGCUUCUUGGUCCAUUUCUGACGUUCAUGCACGAAAGCGUGGGGAGCAAACAGG